UUGGAGGGCAAGUCUGGUGCCAGCAGCCGCGGUAAUUCCAGCUCCAAUAGCGUAUAUUAAAGUUGUUGCAGUUAAAAAGCUCGUAGUUGAAUUUCGAGACCGGCUUACUGGUCGUGCUAUUGUACGUACUGGUAUAAUCGGUUUCUCCUUUCUGACGAACUAUAAUGCCAUUAAUUUGGUGUUAUAGGGAAUCAGGACUGUUACUUUGAAAAAAUUAGAGUGUUUAAAGCAGGCUCACGCUUGAAUACAUUAGCAUGGAAUAACGGAAUAGGACGUUUGAUUCUAUUUUGUUGGUUUCUAGGAUCGACGUAAUGAUUAAUAGGGAUAGUUGGGGGCAUUAGUAUUCAAUUGUCAGAGGUGAAAUUCUUGGAUUUAUUGAAGACUAACUGCUGCGAAAGCAUUUGCCAAGGAUGUUUUCAUUAAUCAAGAACGAAAGUUAGGGGAUCGAAGACGAUCAGAUACCGUCGUAGUCUUAACCAUAAACUAUGCCGACUAGGGAUCGGAUGAUGUUAAUUUUUUAAUGACUCAUUCGGCGCCUUACGGGAAAC
This 548-nucleotide ribosomal RNA is filed under the name uncultured Glomus. Its description in RNAcentral is "SSU rRNA". It matches the Rfam family "Eukaryotic small subunit ribosomal RNA", at positions 548 to 1098 of the family's 1831-position model. The record is from RNAcentral. Lineage: Eukaryota; Fungi; Glomeromycota; Glomeromycetes; Glomerales; Glomeraceae.